GUUUUCUUUUCUUUCUGCAUUUCCUCAUUUAUCUGAUUACAUUUAUUCUUUGACUAAAGUUUUUGCUACAGACAAAACGCAGGCAGAGGACAUGGGUGGGGGUCUACUCUGGAAAGGCCUCGUAGGGUCCUGCUUGGUUAUAUUCCCUCUACCACCACCCCCAACCCUGGGAAGACUCACAUCUCAUCACACUCUCCCCCCAAACUGUUCCCCUACUUCUUGCCCCUCUGUAUACCCAUAAAGAAGGACGGGCAGGCCCACUACCACUCAGGCUCCCCAGGGACCUCUAGGACAGCUGCUUCAUCACUGCUGAAGGACCAGGUGCCACCAAGGACCACCUCAAGCCCAAGACUGAGUCACAAAAGCAGCUGGCUCACUUGCCUGGAGCACUGUCAGGUUCAAGGAGGAGGAGCAAUUAUUAUUAAUGUCAAGUGCUCUGCCUCCUGAGGAACAGAUAAGCAAAAUACAGACAAAAUUUAAAUCACCCUUAGGGAAACGCAAGUCUCACACCAGACUUUCUGAGGCCACUGGAGGAGCAAGCCUCCCUGUCCUUCCUGAACUUGCGAAUGUCACCUUAAGGUCUUGAUUGCGUAAGAGCUCCUGAUGGGGAAAUCUUUUAUGAUGCUACUUUAUGCCGACAACAGCUCUAAAUUAGAGGGUGCAGCUGACUGAAAUGAGCUUAAUUUUCCAUACAAAUGUGGGCUCUUGGAAAGAAAUCACUUUUUUUCAGGUCAAAAAUCUAUUUUAUCUCCCCUAAUUAGGAGAAUAUGUAAAGCAAGAAAGGGGAAUGGUGUUCAAUUUGCCAUAAAAAGCAAACCUAGUAGUUUAUAAGAUCACACUUUCCAAACAAGCUCCGGCCUAUUAGAGGGGAUCAUACAUAAUUCAGUACCCACUUGCUACCUCAUGGAUCAUGCAAAUUCUCUCCAAUUACACUUUGAAAAAAAUGAGGUUCAUCUUCCAGCUUUAAACAGGCUAUUAGAAAAGGGGUAGAUAGAAAAGCCAAUGAUUUAAAGUGGCAUCACUGUGAAUUUGAGACGGAGAGGCUUAAACGGAAGAGAGAAAAUGCCUCAGUUCUGAGCCCCAUUUUAAGAUUGGAACCAGCAGUUCAUAGACUGUUCACACCUCCAUCUGUCUACUUCGCAAAGGUGCCUCUCCAUCCAAAGUGAGAACCUUUCCAUUGGGGGGUGCUUCUUGUUUCUGAAAAAGGGAAAGUGAAAGUCGCUCAGUUGUGUCAGACUCAUUUCGACCCCUUGGACUGUACUCCAUGUAAUUCUCCAGGCCAGAAUACUGGAGUGGAUCAUUUCAAAUUGAUCCUUCAUGAGAUUCUCUUCUUGGACCUUAGAGGUGUGUGUGUGUGCUUGUAUGUUUGUGUGAUGGGUGAGAGAGGAGGAGAGAGACAGACUUAGGCAGCUGAAGCUGCAAUAACAAAGUGUGAUACUGGGUGGCUUAUACACAACAGACAUUUAUUCCUGACUGUUCUGGAGGCUGGAAGUCUGUGAUCAGGGUAGCAGCAUGGCCAGGUUCCGGUGAGGCCCUCUGCCAGGUUGCAGGCUCACAUCUCAUAUCUUUACAUGGCAGAAAGAGGAGUAAUGAGCUGAGGUCCCUUUUAUGAAGGCACCGAUUUCAUGCAUAAAGGCUGCACCUCCAUGACCUAAAUUACCUCCCAAAGUCCCUACCUCCAAAUACCAUCAGACUGGUGAUUUGAGGGUGGGGAGUGGACACACAAACAUUUAGUCUAUAACUAGAGCUCAGAGGAGGCAGGGUCAGUUUUGCCGGCUGAGAUUGGCCCAACCAAUUGUCCAGGUGUUGAGCAUGGCCCUGUGGUCAUCACGAUGAGAAGAAGGAAUCUGGGCAGGAAAGGUGCUGUAGAGAAAGUGGGGCUUGAACGAGGCCCUGGAAGACAGGAGAUUGGGAUGGGCACGGGGUAGGCAGCGUGCUGGGGAGGGGGCAACUGCUUGAGACAGACGCAGAGAGAACCGUGUGUCUGGCUAGUGGGAGGGGAUGAAAUUGCCCUCCGGCGGGGUUGGCACCUGGAUAUGGGCGGUGGGGGCCUGGGAUGCUGUCCUAACAGAGGACUGUCCUGAGCCCUGUUCUCCACCGUGAGGCCACCUGUACAUGAGGAGGAGGAGCAUGCUGACCUUUGGCAUUUGCUCCUGACCAGUUCUCUGGAGCCGCUCCAGCCGUGGGCUCUGAGGGGGAAAUGGGGGGGCUGGGUGAUCAAUAAGCAGACCAGGCUGUGUGCCGCCGGGGAGUUUAAGGGAGGUAAUUAAACAGACUUCUCAGGCAAGCGCCCGCACAUGGGGAUUAAUUGCGAUUUAAAUAAUGAAGCCUCCACGGAUAAGUGAAAUACACAAGAAGAGCUUUGCUGAGGGCCUGGCUGAGCAGGGGAGUCACAGCAUAAGCACCAGUGGUGAUGGCCAGUGGCAGGAGAUGAGGCCCCCCCUUGGGCUCUUUGGGGGGCUCCCGGCUCCUCCAGCUCACGUGGGAGGCUCCUGAGAAUGGGGUUCUCCAUGUUUCCUGAGCCCCUUUGCCUUCCACCUUCAAGGUCUCACUGCAGCCUUAGCUCCUCCAGACUAAACUCCACCAGCCUCCACCUUCAUCAUCUUCUAUUCUGGGUCCCUGGAGGGGAGAGGGGGCGCCUGGCCAGUCAGCCUCUCUGGGCUCUUUCCAGCUUGGCCAGGACUUAACUUCUUGAAAACACUCCCCAGCGGCGUCACCAAGCUUCGCAUCAGUGAGGACUCAAGGCAUUUCCCUAAGUGACUUUUCUAGCCUAUUUCCUGUUCCCCUCAAGGCCUUUGGCUCCCUGAUUCCACCUGUCCGCUACAGCUUGGAGCCUCGGUGCCUUUGCACCUCCAGGAUGGCUUUGCCUCCCCAGGCUGCCUUCUAGGCCAGUUAUAUCUCCUCCAUGAAAAAGCACCCGCCUGGCCUCCCCCAAACAAUGAGAAUCCCCCCUGCAUUGCAGGCUGGUUCAUUGUUGGAGGUCUUGGAGAGGAUUGAUGGUUGGUUGACCUCUGAGCUGGACCCAGGCUCCUCACCUCGUCCUAAUCCUUGGAAUGUCCUGCCCGCCAGUCAGUCCCAGAGCCAUUUUGAAGGACACAGGCUUGAGAGAGCCCUGUGUGGUUGAGACCAUCUGGGCUGAAGGUGUGACUGAGCCCAGGGAAGGCCGCUCUGUGCACUCAAGAUGCUGGCGUCAGCUGCAGAGAUCUACUCGUCUUGAGGCACCCAAGACCAGCCUGACCUGUCCUUAUAAACUCCGGGGACCAUCUGCUGGCAGAACUCUGUGAUCUUGCUUGUUCUCCUGCACAGUCCAGUCCCACCUGCUUGAAAGGCCUCCUGGGUGCCGGGCAGAAUAUCAAGACCUGCAAGUGCAAGGCCCUGCACCUGAGCACCUUCUGUCAUUUUGAAAGAAUAGAGGACUGGGGCAAACCCGGACACAGGUCGAGGGCUGGACCCUCGGGGAAGGGGUGAGGAGCUCAAAGCACAGAUCAUGUUGGCUGGGACAGCGUUUCCCAGACUGUGUUCCUAGUGACACCAGCCCCGAGGAUGGGAAGUGGUGCUACGCUCCAGAGAGGGGUCCCUGACAAUGAGUCUGGGAGAAGCACACAUGCUACUGGUUUUCUUAUGGCAAAUCAGCACAUCAGUAUACCAAAGGCUCUGAGAAGGCCUGCAGUUAGGGAACAGGCCCGAUCCUGCCUGAAAAAUGUCCCCCCUGACUUAGUCAGAGAUCCUCUCUCUCAGGGUAUGUUUCAAGACCAGAUUCUGGAAAGCUCACUUUGCGAGGACUUCCUCCAGAAAACCGGGAGGCCCUGACCUGCCCUUAGGUGCAGAGCAAAGAGCUGGGCUGGAGAUGAGAAAAGCUGAGAGUCUGUGCAAGGUAGGGCCUGGAGCCCAUGAGUCUGGGCAGGAGGCAGGGCAGAUUCCAGAGGCUGACCUCGAAUGCCCACGGCUUCAUCUCUUGUCUGCCACAGAGGCCAGCCUGGGUUCCAGUGCAGCGAUUUUUCGAGUGAGCUCUGUUGCCCCUGUAAGUGUGGUCUUGGGGACUGGACAGAUUUCACCCAGACCUCCAAGCCCAAGUAACUGUGUGUGACCCCACCCUACCCAGCUCCAGAUGACCACGUGUGCCCUGUGAGGUCGGAUGAAAUAGCAGGGGGCAUGACUCCCUGGGUGGCAUCUAAAUGAAACACCACAUUGAAAAUUGGAUGUUAGUGUUGGCUAGAGAAGACAGAAAAAAGAAAGCAAGAGAGAGGAAGAGAAAAUAAUCAUUUGACUUUUUCAAAUGUCCUUUGCUAGAAUGAUAGAAUGUGUUUCACAUUCAUAUUUAAUGUGAUUUUUUCUUUUUUUAAUAAAAAAUCCAACUUAUAUAUAUAUAUUAAAAGUACCCGAAAGAUGGCUGGUUUAAUUGCAUUCUUAAAAAAAAUAUCCUGAGUUUUCAUCAGCCAAUGUGAUGUAGUAAACCUUUUCCUCCAUACCUUCUGUUGAGAGGUUAAAAAAUAACUGGAUGCGAGAGUAUUUUGUAAACCAUAAAGUGCUGUAUAUGUGUCAGUUAUCGAUAUCUUACUGCUACUAAUGAUGCACUUUGUCAAGGGCUAAAUGUUGAUGUCACUCCCAAAUUCAUAUUAGAAGCCUUGAUCAAUUACCUAAUGUGAAUAUAUUUGAAGGAGGAGGUGAUAAAAGCUAAAUGAUGCCAUAAGGAUGGGGCCCUAGUCUGAUAGGGCUGGAAAUUUUAGAAGAAGAGGAAGAAACACAGAUAUCUCUUUCUUUCCAUGAACCCUUAGAGGAAAAGCCAUAUAAGGAUGUAGUGGGAAGGCGUCUGCACACCUGAAAGAGAGUUCUCACCAGAAACCAAAUUGGCCAGCACCUUUAUCUUGGACUUCCCAGCUUCCAAAACUGUGAAAAAUAAAUUUCU
Molecule: long non-coding RNA, 4906 nt
Organism: Bubalus bubalis (water buffalo)
Lineage: Eukaryota; Metazoa; Chordata; Mammalia; Artiodactyla; Bovidae
Exons: 2
Source: RefSeq, a predicted model, not a curated record